UAGGGAAUCUUCCACAAUGGGCGCAAGCCUGAUGGAGCAACACCGCGUGAGUGAAGAAGGGUUUCGGCUCGUAAAGCUCUGUUGCUAAGAAGAACACGUAUGAGAGUAACUGUUCAUACGUUGGCGGUAUUUAACCAGAAAGUCACGGCUAACUACGUGCCAG
RNAcentral lists this ribosomal RNA (163 nucleotides) under uncultured bacterium. Its description in RNAcentral is "partial 16S rRNA". It matches the Rfam family "Bacterial small subunit ribosomal RNA", at positions 355 to 511 of the family's 1533-position model. The record is from RNAcentral.